This 1093-nucleotide long non-coding RNA is filed under the name Oryzias javanicus (javanese ricefish). RNAcentral's name for it is "lncRNA (ENSOJAG00000003060.1)". The record is from RNAcentral. Lineage: Eukaryota; Metazoa; Chordata; Actinopteri; Beloniformes; Adrianichthyidae.
AGAUAGUUGUAUGCCCUGUAUACGCUGGUUUAGUGUAAGGCAACAAACACUGUCGACGGAUGAUGACGUCAUAGAUGCAUGUACUGCGCAUGUGCGAGCCGGUAAACUAAGGAAAUAAAGCAUGGCGACUGCGACUGAGACUCGGGUGGAUUAUUAGUGUUAAUAUGAAAGAGAAACACUACAAUGGCGACGAGGAUGGGUGUAGCUUGUGCUGAACACCAAGACAAAGUUUCAAGACGGAAAUAAAGAUCCCGAAAGAAAGAUAAAAGUACUGGACUUUAAGGAGUGCAUCAGAAAGUCAUCAUUUCACCAGAAAAGAGGUGUACGUAGGAAAUUUUCGGCGCCAUAAGAUGGCCAGCCCUACUUAUGGAAUCACAGGUGUUUGCUGAAAAUAACCAAAUAACCUCUUCACCUUGUUCAGAGAGAAGUCCACCGAAAUGUGUCAGGAUAGCUGAGGAGCUGGCCAGAUUGAUUAAGAUUUAUGAUCUCCAGGAACGUGAUGUUAAUUUGAGACGGCCACGUGUCCUCCUUGCACUUCCGGUUUAUUUGCAUGAAGAUGCCUCCAACUUCGUCAAGACCUGCACUUGGUUGGAACUGCCGAAAACCAACGAAUCGGUGCUCGCUGCUGAUGCACGCGCUCAGCCGCCAGAGGGUCCACCGCCCACCGAGGCGGCCGCUCUGCUUCCAGCGGACGAGAGGGUCUGCUGCUGCGACGGCAGUUUCCAGAUGGUCCAGACCUCUCAGACACUGUUGUGGCUCUCCUAUCAGCCGUCUUGGGUGAUACUCCUGAUGCUGCCAUCUUCUGCCCUGAGAGCAUCUUUAUCAUCGUGGAGAAUGAAACACUCGUCAGUUGUCCCACAAAUCUGGCUGACUCUCUUACUUUUUGGGUAUGUCUAUGCUCUGGACCUACAGUACCCCCAAAAAAUGGAGCUUGCAAUGACAUUUAUUCAGAAAGUGGUGAUGUGCCUUGAGGACAACAAACCACUGAAAGGGACCCAUGUGUAUAUAUAUAUAUAUAUAUAUAUAUAUAUAAUAUACAAUCUUGUGUUUUAUUUCAAACAAGCACUUUAUUUUGACUGAGCUCUUAAAAUGU